CCUACGGGGGGCAGCAGUGGGGAAUAUUGCACAAUGGGCGAAACCCUGAUGCAGCAACGCCGCGUGAGGGAUGAAGGUCUUCGGGUUGUAAACCUCUGUUCUUAAGGAAGAUAAUGACGGUAUCUAACGAAUAAGCCCCGGCUAACUCCGUGCCAGCAGCCGCGGUAAUACGUAGGGGGCAAGCGUUAUUCGGAAUAACUGGGCGUAAAGGGCGCGUAGGUGGUUUCUUAAGUCAGAGGUGAAAGGCUACGGCUAAACCGUAGUCAGCCUUUGAAACUGGGGAGCUUGAGUGUAGGAGAGGAAGGUGGAAUUCCUGGUGUAGCGGUAAAAUGCGUAGAUAUCAGGAGGAACACUAGUUGCGAAGGCGACCUGCUGGACUGUAACUGACGCUGAGGCACGAAAGCGUGGGGAGCAAACAAGAUUAGAUACCCCAGUAGUC
This 439-nucleotide ribosomal RNA is filed under the name uncultured bacterium. RNAcentral's name for it is "partial 16S ribosomal RNA". It matches the Rfam family "Bacterial small subunit ribosomal RNA", at positions 338 to 795 of the family's 1533-position model. The record is from RNAcentral.